This is a non-coding RNA of Pelobates cultripes (western spadefoot toad), 207 nucleotides long. Lineage: Eukaryota; Metazoa; Chordata; Amphibia; Anura; Pelobatidae. The record is from the annotation of a GenBank genome assembly.
CUACAACAGGGGCGUCCAACCCACGGCCCAGGGGCAGCAUGCGGCUCUGGAACGCUAGCAGUGCGACCCUGCUGCUGUUUGUGCUGAAUUGAGGCGAGGGAGCACAUAUCAUGCUCCCUCCUGCGCCCUGCAGUGAGCCGGCCAACGGGAUAUGACAUUAUCCUGGCAUCGGUAUCACUGUUGGGUGCGUGAGAGACCUGUGCAGGA